Long non-coding RNA from Conger conger (European conger), 5989 nucleotides. RefSeq lists it as uncharacterized. The record is from RefSeq and is a predicted model, not a curated record. The transcript has 2 exons. NCBI's taxonomy places the organism in Eukaryota, Metazoa, Chordata, Actinopteri, Anguilliformes, Congridae.
UCAGGUUAAGAGCCGAAAACCCGGCAGAACCGGCAAACCGCCCCGGUGGGCGCUCACUACAACACCUGACUUCUCCCGCUGCCAGCCCCCAGCGCCGGGGAGAGGAGAGGAGAGGAGAGGAGGAGAGGAGUGGUGACGGAUGGGAAAUGCCACACACCUCGCGUCUCCUUUUUGAUCGCCCCCGGAGUGGACCCCCUGCGCCUCGCCCCCUGGUAUCCUCAUCUGAACUGCCCCGGGCUCAGUCCCGCUCCGGCAGCCUCCCUAGGGAGGGGGCAGGCCAGGGGCACAGCUGGACGGCAGCUGGGGAACAUCUGCAGACCGGGGGGUGAGCUACCAGUCUGGCUGCGGCCGGGAGGGUUCCUGGCACCGUGAUUUGGUGCAAAAACAGAAACGAAAAUCACAUUGCCAGGGAUUUCCACUCUGUCACAGCUUUAUGACCGCCCACAUGUGCGCCUUCUUCCCAGCAGAGUCCGCAACGGCCCCCGUCAGGGUUCCCCAACCGUCCCUAAUGGCUCAGUGUCCUCGCCCUGGGAGUUCACUCGGGACCGGAGAAAACGCUCCUACACAACAGCGUUACUACAUUUCUGUUCUGUGUGUAAGUGGGAUUGUCUGAGGGCCCAGCUACAUCACGUAUUCAUAGUCACGCAGAGAUAAGAAAAGUUACCUUUAUGGUUUUCGUGAACAAAAGUAUAUUGCAAAAUCUCAAACCAGGCUCGUACCUGCACUGCUGAAAGAGUCCUUUUAAUUCUAAUCUUCUUGAGUCCGCUGGUUGCUUCCUAGGGUGAAAAUUCCAAGCGUUGAAGACUCUCGAAGCUUACACACCGUAUCAUGUUUUCGGGAACUAUCGUUUAUCAUCUAGAGGAAUGCUGAAUGACCUGCGGGAAUAUUUGACUGGAACGCACCAUCUGAAACUGAUCAGCGGGCCAAAACUUAACCAUGCAUUUGUUGGGGGGGGUUUCAGCUUAACGGAAGGAAUGGAGAUGGUUAAAAUUUCAGAGUGUGGGAGCAGUAUUGAAUACACAGUUCUCUGGGAUUCAGCAUUGAGGGGGUGGAGGAGGAGAGGAAAUUUACUGACCGUGCCUAAUUUCAUGUGUGCUCGACCGGGACAUACAGUACCGCGAUCCACCGGACAACACGCAUGUCAAGAGCUGUCGUGUCCGCCGUUUCCCCAAGAGAGACUGUCCGCCACGCCAUGCGCAAGUGCAUCCUAUAGCCCAGUCGCUUUCAAAAGGCACAGAGCUUAGCUAAUUGUCGAGCAUUGAUCGCUUUAAUAUACUGUUCACAGUGGCUAAGUUCAGUGCCUGAGGUGAAACAGUUAAUAGGAUGUAAAGAGCGUGUUUGGGAACGCAGACCGCCCCCCCGCCCUUCUUCGUUGGAAGGUGACGGGAAAAGAAAUGGACAGAGUGGGCAUGAAGACCUCAUUAUUCCGCCGUGGGUACGGAGCCAGCAGUGUGCAGAGUAGCAGGUUACCCAUAAAGCAACUGAAGAAGGAAAAAAAAAAAGCUCAGGAAUGUUCCCUAAAUGUCAGGCCAGUGGAGGCACGCAGAGUUCUCGUUCACCUGGUUGAGUGCGUAGCUUUGACAGUGAGCAGAGAUACUGAUUUACGUGCCAAAGGCAGGGCUUUCCACACUCUCAAAGCGGGGGUGGGGAGGUGGGGUGAUGGCCGGGCUUUCCCCGAACGGUUCAACAGCAGGGUCUGUUUUUAUGUUGUUGUUGUUGUUCUUUUUGUGUAUGUGUGUAUUUGUCUCAUCCAGAAAGAGAGAGAGAUAGAGAGAGAGAGUGAGCACGAGAGAGAUAUGGACAGAAAGAGAGAGAGAUCUAUAGACGAAGGUAGAGAGAGAAAGAAAUAUAGAGAAAGAAAGAUAUCGAGAAAGGGAGAGAGAGAGAUAGAGAAAGAGAGAGAGAGUUAACAUGAGUUAAAGGUACUGACCGCGAGUCAAUAUCCAUGAGUGAGACAUAUGAAGCUUGUCAGGCAGACAGAUGAGGCGCUAAGGCACAUCUAUUUUUCAUCUCGUACUGUACCAGACGCUCUUUAUGCUAGCCGUCCGCUGAAUUGACACAUCAGCCCGCUCCUGAUCCAACAGUACCCGUCCCUCCAGUCGUUGGAUUCAUCUGCUCUCUGUAAUUACUGCAUGAUGGAAGCCAUGAUGGAAAAUUAGUCUCGGGGACAGAUUCCAGCGAGGGAGAUGCUUGUGUCCUCAGCUCCGCCAGGCCCCUGGCUCGGCGCAGUGCAUUGUGGGACAGGUCAGGGUUGUGACCUCCCGUGCCUACUGAACUGGUAUCAGUGUGUCUACAGAAUGCUGGCUCAGUUCAGCAGGAACAGGAGUGGAGCCCAAUCGGUGCCAGUCAUUGCAUCAUCACCAUCCAAUCAGCGCGCAGCCUAUGAUGUCAUUUUCUUAAUCCCACCCCCUGGUUUCCUAGUCGUACUCGAUUCAGGUGUGGAAAAUCAUAUACAUUUCGAUGUUUAAAUUCUCUUCCUGGUUUUAGUAGCUAAACGCCCACAAAACGUUUUGCUAAGAGCACUGACAAAGGUUUUUUGAAAAGUCUCUAACCCUGCCCCCAGAGCUCAAUUCCCCCUCCACUUCCUGUGGUCUGCUCUCUGUGAUAACACUAAGCAAUGUCAUCCGAUAACUAUGCAAACACAUACUGUAUGUACGUCAUGUCACGUGGAAAAUUUUUUUUCAAACAGCACGGGAUAAUAUCAGUUAGACCCAAAAAUGUGCAUAGUUCUACCAAAAUCACAAUUGUUUUAUUUGGAUCAGUAUAGAAGCACAAAUCAAAAGCUCUGGGAUGAUGUGAAAAACUAUGUACGUGAGUGAAUUAUCAGAUAUAGGAGGUCAGCAUUUGAUGGUUUCUGGUUGUAUAUUCACUUCAUUCGCUUAUUUUUGUACAUUCAAUGUGCUGUAUUCUGAUUCACACCUCAAGUGUAUUCCAUCAUGGUCACAAUUUAAUAUAAGGUUCCAUGAACUGGCAUGAACUAACAGUUAUUAACUAGCUUAACUAACUACUGCUGAGAAGUUAAUCUGUACAGCUCUGUUAAUGUAUUUGUACAUCAUUAAUUUUUGUUAACAACUAUAUUAGUUAUUACAAAUUCACAUUGGAAUGAAAAGGUCAAUUUAUAUAUUUGUUAACUAAUCCCAUGGUUUGCUAAUGCAUAAAUAUCAUGCAACAAAUAUGUUAGUUAGUUGUUAACAAAUGCAUGAACUAAUCACAAGUUAAAUUCAUGCUUAAUUCAUGUAUUUGCCUAUCAUUAAUUAAUGUUCACAACUACAUUAGUUAAGGCCCAUUCAUGGACCUUAUUGUAAAGUGUGACCAAUGUAUCUCAUCUUGUACUACUGCCACUGUACAGCGUCUGUUCUCAGAAGCUGUACCAAGGACAUAAACAUUCACAAACCUGCCAUUGCAGUCUAAAAAUGAAACCGCAUACUGUAUGUGAAAUGCAUGAACUGUCUGCCCAUUGAUAUCACCGAAGAUAUGAAUAUUUCAAAUGCUCUUUCCAAUGAGAUAAUGUAAUGGGGAGUGAAUUAUUACCGUGGAAAUAUUUAAUGUUUUUGCUUUUUAUAAAACUGCUGAGUUUGAGAAUACUAUUUAGCUUGUGCUUGAGUGCAAAUUGUCUGUAUGAUUAGCUUGUCGGUGUGAUUUAAUUCAGCCCAUCUGUUUACCCCACCAAAGCAUGCAGAAUGCAAAAGCACUGUGCAAAGCAUGACACAAGAUAGCCAUAAAUAUGCAAAGCACAAAUUCCUCAACAUUCAAAUAGAUAUUAUUGCCUUGUUUCAGACAUAACAUGUUACCUGGCUUAUUUAUGCAGAGGGAAGGUACACUUCAUUACAAUUGCCAGUGAUUUCUGUCCAUCUGACAGAUUAUUGAUCGGUGAAGGCCUUUGUUUCAACCAUAUAACUUUUUCUGGGCAAUUAUGUUCAACCUUGAAGAGAUUAGUGUAAUACUUAGUACGUAUUUUAAUGUUCAGCAGACUCAAAAAUCCAUUACAAACGGGAAGCCUGUCUCUAGGGCACUUCUCUCGGUGAAAUGCAAACAAUUGAUUUUUGAAUUGACUCCUUUUUUUUCCUAUUUUCCAUAAGAAGAGCAGCCGAAGUGGUUUGGAAAUUGCUGUGUGCUGAACAUUUGUGUUGUUCUGAAGCUCGAUGAUACGAGCACUUGGGCUACUUCUGAAAAUAAACGACUGCCCUGCUGAAAAACAGCUAGGUUUUGAAUCAGCUGGUAGCUGGUUGACCUGCUUCCAGCUCAGACAAGCUACCACCACCAGCUGGUUGACCAGCCCAUACCCAGCUAGACCAGCUUUAUGACCAGCUUGGUCAUGCUGGUUGACCAGCCCAUACCCAGCUAGACCAGCUUUAUGACCAGCUUGGUCAUGCUGGUUGACCAGCCCAUACCCAGCUAGACCAGCUUUAUGACCAGCUUGGUCAUGCUGGUUGACCAGCCCAUACCCAGCUAGACCAGCUUUAUGACCAGCUUGGUCAUGCUGGUUGACCAGCCCAUACCCAGCUAGACCAGUUUUAUGACCAGUUUGGCCAUGCUGGUUGACCAGCUCAUACCCAGCUAGACCAGCUUAUGACCUACAUCUCCAAGCUGGUCGAGCAGGCAGAGCUGGAUUUUACUGCAGGGCGGUUCCUCAAAUUGAGCCAGUGGAACCAACAGACCUCUGAAUAUAUGGGGUGGGGGGUCUGAUUUCAACUGAUCUCCCCCCCCCCCCCCAACAGCCCCAAUAUGUAUUAGGCCCAUAAUUCAAGAUUAUAUGUACCUUAUGAGGUUCACAGUAAGCAGAUCGAGAAAUAUGUUUGUGCCGGACCUUCACCUAGCCCUCUCACGGUUUCCAUAGUGAUGUCAGGAUCCUCCUGACGUAUCGCAGGGCUGACAUGUUUCGGCUGCCUCGUUUCGCUUGGGUCUCGUUCGCUGCCAGUGGCUUAUAUCGAAUCAGCGUCCUCUCGGCCCCCGGGCCCUGGCCAUGUGCGGGUUCUAUAAUUGAUUUAAGCUGAGACACACCAGCUGAGCAGCGUGGCGGAUCUGGCUUCUGGCGACCGGUGGCUCCUCGGGGUCCUUCCAGGUCGCCCGGCGCGAAACGCCUGCGCAAAAUCACGCCUUACUGGCUAAAUCGUUAGUCUGAUUCAGGGGUCCUCAGUCUUUCCCUGAAAGUGCCAGUGUGGGUACUGGCUUUUGAUCUAAGCAAGCAGUCACACGCCUGAUUCUACUAAUCAAGGUCCUUAGCAAAGUCGGUACUGGUUGAUUAGUGGAAUCAGGUGUGGAACUGCUUGGUUGGAACAAAAGCCUGCACCCACACAGCGCCCCUUUCUGAAUAAGAUUGAGGACCCCUGGUCUAAUUAAUCAGAACCACAACAAAUGUAUUGUUAUAGAAAAAUGGUUCUUCUAUGAUAAUAAAAUGUGUAUUCAAUGCUUUUACCAGAUCCUCCAUAUUUCCUUUCUGAUUUUUACAUUAAAUAACUUACUUUGUUGUAAUUGUUAUAGCGUCAAUACAUGUUUUCUAAAAAAAAUGAUGUCAAUCAUUAAAUAAACAUAUGGCUCCUUUUACUUUCAAAUAUAAGGAUGGGUAUAAAUGAUAGAAUGUACAUGCAUGCAGUUCACCUGUAUUUAAUUAUUAAAGAGUGUGUCAUUCAAAUUAUGUCAUUAAUAUCCUAUAGCAGCUACAUGUUGGCACCCCUUGAUGUCCCCGUGUAGGAUUCAUGGCUGCUGUUGCUAGGUUACUGGUGAUGACAGCCAGCUUCAGGGCCAUUUCUCCAUAGCCAUAGGUCAGCAGUAACACACUGUGUCCUGGGCCCAGCUCUGAGCUGGAGAUCAGUAUCUGUUUGCAUGCAAACCCCCUGGUACAAAUCGUCCUGAAAAGGAGCCAGAUCUAGCACAGAUUUAACUUCUGUCCCAGCCUCCAAGUUUUGCACUCCUUCACCCAGGUGCAACUACUAAAUGCCUGGAAGAAAAAAAACGAGUGUUGAAUGCAAAUAAAGUUUGCUUCUUGUUA